GGGCCCCUUCCCGGCCCGGCCCUGCCCCGGGGGGCCCCGCUCGGAGGGAAGGAAAACAGGUCACCUGGCCUCCCCCUCUCUCUUUGUUCUCCAACAUCUUCGGCUGGCUCCUUGCAGAGGACGGGCUCUGGCCAUCACUUGCCAGGAUAGAGAAUUUUGGCCAUUCUCUACGCCCAGGCAGCCACUCUGCCGUCACAUCUGCCCUCUAGAGGUCUCUGCAGUGAUCACACUGCUGUAUCCCACCAGCUUGAUACUUGUGUAACACAUGGGGAAACUGAGGCACACACAGUAUUCAGAGAAAACCUUAAGAACAAUCCCGCUUCAUCAGACCCCUCUGAGACCAGCCCAGGGGCACUUUCUCCAGUGGCUGGAACCAUUCUGAGGAUACCAGCCCCUGAGCCUGAACCUGCAAGCGAUGGAGAGACCUGGGGAAAGGGCUGGAGCUGGGCAGGGAAAUGACUCUGCACGAAAGGCGCCUUUCAGGGACUAGCUGCAUGGCAGAGUCAUAGAAUCAGAGCGUCUGUCUGCAGGGAGAGAGCCUGGGGGGACUUGGGGAGUGACAUGGACUCCAGCCCCUUAUGAAACCUGCCCAAUCUCCCUGCUCCUCUGACAGGCUGAGGAAUCGCGUCCACGUUUCGCUCCAGAUUGUCCCGUCUUGCAGGGGACAGGGCAGGGAAAUGGCUGUGAUGGAGCCAGCUGA
Molecule: long non-coding RNA, 700 nt
Organism: Chelonia mydas (Green sea turtle)
Lineage: Eukaryota; Metazoa; Chordata; Testudines; Cheloniidae
Exons: 3
Source: RefSeq, a predicted model, not a curated record